UGGAUCAGCAUGCCACGGUGAAUACGUUCCCGGGUCUUGUACACACCGCCCGUCACACCAUGGGAGCUGGUAACACCCGAAGUCAGUAGUCUAACCGCAAGGAGGACGCUGCCGAAGGUGGGAUUAGCGACUGGGGUGAAGUCGUAACAAGGUAUC
This 156-nucleotide ribosomal RNA is filed under the name uncultured bacterium. RNAcentral's name for it is "partial 16S ribosomal RNA". It matches the Rfam family "Bacterial small subunit ribosomal RNA", at positions 1345 to 1500 of the family's 1533-position model. The record is from RNAcentral.